Non-coding RNA from Cydia strobilella, 77 nucleotides. The record is from the annotation of a RefSeq genome assembly. NCBI's taxonomy places the organism in Eukaryota, Metazoa, Arthropoda, Insecta, Lepidoptera, Tortricidae.
GCUUCGGUAGCUCAGUUGGUUAAGAGCGACCGGACCGGUAUUUCGAAAGGCCGCUAGUUCGAUUCUGGCCCGAAGCG